CAUUUAGAUGCAUGGACGAGAGAAAAAAGAGUUGUGAUGCCAAUAAAGAUUGCAUGUCAGAACAGUUCACCAUGUUAAAUGAGAUGACUACUAUCACAUCUAGGCUGUCAACAAAAAGAAGACAACAAUGGGUAACUACAUUAGUCAUUUUUGUUACACUGCACAAAACCAAACCAAUACUCUUCUCUUUGGUGCUUUGCUCCUCAUCAUACUUUCUAGAGUUCUAGUUUCUUUCCAACCUUUAUAAGACUGCAAUCAUCUAUAACAGAAGUAACCAGCAAAGAAAGCAGAGGGGGGGAAGUUCAACCACUCCCGAUUACAUCCUAAAGCAAAGGUAGCCACAGCUCAAAAUCUCUGGCAUACGAAACCAAGCGCAUUACAGAAGCAAAAAACAACAGCGCUAUGCUCGAACACCUCAGUCAUGACUAGCAAAUCAAGGACAGAUGAUCUUUAUCUCCAGUCUUGGGACCCAAAAGAUCCAACUACUCCUCGCACGGAACACCUCAGCUUUGACUAGCUCCAGUGAUCUUGCUUGUUGUUUUCAAGAGUCCUUCACCUGCCAAAUCAGACAAACAAUCAAUUCAGUAAACCACUCGAAAAAUGACAUCAAUGGGUUCAGCAGGCUACUUCUGCUGGAAGCAUGCAAGGUUGUGUGCUUUCCAUAUGUACUCUAGAAGACAGAUGCUACCCCAACAGUGCAGACCGUCCUAGAUUCAGCCCCCAUGCCCUUUAGCCAAAUAUGGAAGCAUGAUUCAGGAUCACUGAAAUUAAACCCUAUCCCAGUUGACACACCAACAACAUUCCAUACAAACCUAGCAAGGGGACAAUAAGAAAAUAAGUGCUUGAUACUCUCAUUCCGUGCAAUCAAGUUUUCGGAUCAUCCUAGCCUCCAGGAAAUCAAGGUUACAAGCUUCCAAAGCAGCAAAAGAAACAGGGACUCCUAGGUACUCAAGGGGAAGAGUUCCAACAGGGCAGCCAAAAACAUCAGAGUAAAUUCAGCAACUGAAUUUCCCCCCCUCUUAGAAUAGUUCAAUUUCAGUCCAGACAUAAGCUCAAACAUAUAAACAGAAGGCUGAGAUUAAUAGCUUUAUCAGGAUCAUGACUAACACAUAAAAUCGUGUCAACCUUAACUAGAAUGUGUAAUUAGAAUUAAAAUGAGCAAUCUGGAUAGGACCAUUUGACAUCACAAAGCAUCAACUGGCAUUGGUUUAAUAUCAACAAAUCAUGUCGUGUUCUUGGAUAUCUUAGGUCUAUUCUAUGGACAUGUUGGAUUCAUUUAUGUAAGACAAGAGUUGCGUGAGUAGAAAAGAGUCAAGAUAAGGUACUCUUGAAUUGGGCAUAGGUUAGGGCGGACAUAAAUGACAAUGAAAUGAUAGAUUCGGAAGACUUUAAUAGAUUACACAUGUACUAAGACCGAGUGCAACCCAGGCAAAAGGUUAGAUAAAUUUGGAUAUGGUAUGUGUGCAACUGUCAUAACAUACUAAAUAUUGUUCUGGUAGCAAGAGUAAUGAUCUGACACACAAAAAUCAUGUUAAGUACGUAAUAAGUUGGUUCAGUUAAGCGUAAAGAUACAAGUACCACAAAGUCACAUGUACACACAUUCAGAAUGUAAACUAUGAUUCCCCACAAAAAAAAAUGUAAACUAUGAUAGCAGCAAAGUGAAAUGGGAUAUUUUAGAAGUUUUCAGAGAACGUAUUCCUAUAAUUUUGCAUGAUAGCCAUGACAGUACUAUAUAUGAAACUGAAAUCAUAUUUGUGAGUAUGUGAAUCAAGAUGAUGUGAUUGAAUGACCACGCCCCACCAAAGCAAGUUACGCUCAAUCUCGCUGAUAACUAGAUUUUCAUAGACAACCAGAUAGAGCAGUUAUAAUGUUAUACAAAAAUCUACAGUACGUGACAUACCCACAAUCAAAUCAUUAUGUGAAUUGCAACAUGCUGCUAACAGCACAACAUUACAGUACUAAUCCAAGCGCGAUUACGAACUCGAUCCACAUUGCAAACUCUAAGACCAGGUUGAGGAGCCCUUCCUGAUGCACCCCGGCGGCCUUUCCGACCCCAGACUACGGCCAUGAGCGGAGAGGAGAGGAGGGGAGGGAGCGGCGGUUCGUACCUACGCGGAACUGGCGUCGUUGUCUCGGUCGACACCGGGAGAGGUGUCUGGAGUCGCGGACGGAUCGGAGUCGGUGGCCGCGCCGAGCACCCGAGGGGCGGGGCGCCCUGGGUCGGGAUUGGCCCCUGCGGACUCGCCGAGGGAGCCAACCCCCGGUGUGGAGGAGGCGGCGGCGGUGUCGUCGUCUCCCCGCGCCCUCUUCACGCCCCGCGGCGCGGCUUCCACGGAGGGAGACG
This 2344-nucleotide long non-coding RNA is filed under the name Triticum aestivum (bread wheat). Its description in RNAcentral is "long non-coding RNA (TAES_LNC020166)". Lineage: Eukaryota; Viridiplantae; Streptophyta; Magnoliopsida; Poales; Poaceae. The record is from RNAcentral.